This 3478-nucleotide unclassified non-coding RNA is filed under the name Hevea brasiliensis (rubber tree). Lineage: Eukaryota; Viridiplantae; Streptophyta; Magnoliopsida; Malpighiales; Euphorbiaceae. The record is from RNAcentral.
ACGCGAGCUGGUUAGAUGCGUGGGACAGAGGGCUCAUAGUACCUGCUAACGCGGCUAUGCAGUGGAAGGGAAGGAGCCUAAAUCGACCCCCUUCUUUCUUUUUUUUUUUCAAAGAAAAAAAGCAGUACAAAGAGAUUAGACUCUCGGAUGAGACUAAGCAGCCACCGACCGUUCCGACGCGUCCCUGACCUAUCUUGAUUAAGACCGAAAACCUAUCUAAAAUGGAGCCUAGUUUAAGCUGUCAAACAAAUGAUAGAAUGGAAAAUGAAAUGUUGAAUAACCCACUAGUAGGGAAGAGAUAUGGAUGGAGUCUCGCUCAAUAAAGAGAGUUGUAGAUUCGUAGAAAAGGAGAAGAGCCUUGACUUUCGAUUUUUUUAGUAAAGCGCUAACGCUGCAAUCUUUCUAAAGUAAGAAGCGCGAAACUUGACUUUGAGAAAGAAGGUGCUUGUUGCCGCUUUAUUAGUAAGUAAGCUUGUUUUAUAUCAUAUCAAUAAAGGUUGCUUUUAUAAAAAAAAAAAAAUGGAAUAUGAAUAUAAGGCGCGUUAGCGCUUUAGUUUUCAAUAAGGACAUUUAGGCUUUACUAAAGGGCUUUUUUUUCAGGUUUGGAACCCUAUACAAAACAAAACAAAACAAAGGGCGUUUCCUUUCAAAUGACAACUGCCUCUUCCUGCUGCGAGGGCGUUGCACGAAACCAAACCGCCCCCCACCCGAUCAAGUACCAGUUGCUUCGCUGGUAGGCCCACUUAGGUUAGGGGGCAUUGUCCCUCAGUUCUUACCAACCUCCGGUGUGUAAUCGACAUGUUACUAGCUUCAACUCGGUUGAAUAAGAAUCAUUGAUUCCCUCUGCUGUCCAUUUCUUAUUCAUUCAGGGUGCUCGGCCGGUGCUCCUUUAUCAAACCAGAACAACUCUGAACGUUAGGGAAGCCCACGGAGCGGGAAGACCACCUGAGCGAACCGACCGAAGGGACUUGACUUAUCCGAACCGAACGAUAGCGGCUUAAAGCUAAGCCUAUCACGAGCAGCGUCGCUGCGCGGGGAGGAGCAUUUAAAAGUAUGGGGCAAAGGAUCAAGCGCUUUGACUUUGUCCCCCGGGAUCCACCACAGGUUGGGUUUGAGUGAGAGCCGUGUGAUGGGUGACUAUCCAGCACGGUUCGGAGAGCACUUUUAGUCUGCGCUGGUGAAUGGAAGCCCCCCCUAUCAAGCAAGAAAGAAGCGGCUCUUUCCACGGCGGAAUCACCAUUGACUCUAUUUAUUAUUAUGGUAAAUUAGUGUAUCAAGAUGUCAAUCUGAGAUCUUAUUUCGGUUCGAUACGUCCACCUACGAGACUCACCUUUGGCUUUCGUCUCGGUAGGUGUAUUAUUCUACAUUUUCCCAAAAGAACAUUCAUUAAUUUCUUUCUUCCCCGUCGACCACGACGACUGAAACGACGCGAAAAAACCAGACCCGGAAAGGAGAAGGGCCGGUGGUGGACAUUCGGUAAAGUCGGGCCGAUCAGGUGUCUUCAUUCAAGCGACAAUACAGAAGAAGAACGAAAGGAAGUGAGAGGCCGGGGGGCAGGGAAAAGAGUCGAGUCGAUCAGGCUCGACGACCGGGAGAAGGAAAACGAAAUCAGGAUUUGGCCGAAAAAGAAGCAAUGCUAUGGAUACCAUGACCGAUCACCAUCGAUAAAGAAGAAUCUUUCUAAAUCACUUCGGGUCAGCGGGGCCUUCAAGCAUCCGAAAUACGCCGGGGUUGUAAAUGACAUAGCGUUCCUGAUAGAAAAUGACGACUCCUUCAGAAAAACGAAGUUAUUCAAGUUCUUUUUCCCAAAGAAGUCCCGCUCCGACGGCCCGACGAGUCAUCUACUUAAAAGGACCCUCCCUGCAGUGUGCCUCUCCUUGAAUUAUUUGGUCAUGCAAUAUUUAUUGAAUACAAAGAACCAAAUUCAUUUCGACCCCGUCGUAGUUCUCAAUCAUUUCGUGGCACCGGGCGUGGCUGAACCAUCUACGAUGGGGGGAGCGAAUGCACAGGGAAGAAGCUUAGAUAAGAGAAUACGUUCUCGCAUCGCUUUUUUUGUAGAAAGCUCGACCAGCGAAAAAAAGUGUUUGUCCGAAGCCAAAAAGAGGUUGACUCACUUCAUUCGCGAAGCGAAUGAUCUUCGCUUCGCGGAAACAACAAAAACCACCAUCUCGCUUUUUCCUUUCUUCGGUGCUACCUUUUUCUUUCUAAGGGAUGGGGUUGGGGUGUAUAAUAACCUUUUUUUUGAGGAUGCCCGGGAACAACUCCUAGGUCAAUUAAGGAUCAAAUGUUGGAACCUCAUGGGUAAGGAUAAGGUAAUGGAAUUGAUAGAGAAAUUCAUAAACCUAGGUGGGAUAGGAGAAUUGAUAAAGGGAAUAGAGAUGAUGAUAGAGAUCAUACUGAGAAACAGAAGAAUUCCGUACGGAUACAACUCUUAUUUGAACGAAAUGAAAAAAAUGCGAUCUUUGUUGUCUAAUAGAACAAACACUAAUACCUUAAUUGAGUCGGUCAAGAUUCAAUCUGUUUUUCAAAGUGCUUCUUCGAUUGCUCAAGACAUCUCUUUUCAACUGAGGAACAAAACAAGAUCAUUUCGUUCCAUUUUUAGUAAAAUAGUGAAGGAUAUUCCAUUAGUAAUGAAAAAAGGGGUGGAGGGGAUCCGUAUAUGUUGUUCAGGUCGAUUAGAAGGCGCAGAAAUAGCUAGAACUGAAUGCGGAAAGUAUGGAAAAACAUCUUGUAAUGUAUUUAACCAGAAAAUAGAUUAUGCUUCUGCGGAAGUAUCUACUCGUUACGGAAUCUUAGGUGUCAAAGUGUGGAUUUCAUAUAGUAAAAAAAAGGGGGGACAUGCUAUAUCCGAAACGUACGAAAUAUAGUAAAUAUCGUAAAGGCAGAUGUAGUAGGGGUUGCAAACUGGACGGUACACAACUUGGUUUUGGAAGAUAUGGCAUUAAAAGUUGUAAAGCUGGUCGUCUUUCAUAUCGAGCCAUUGAAGCAGCGCGUCGGGCUAUAAUAGGACAAUUCCAUCGUGCUAUGAGCGGACAAUUCCGAAGAAAUGGUAAGAUAUGGGUAAGAGUUUUCGCAGAUCUCCCUAUUACCGGGAAACCUACAGAAGUAAGAAUGGGAAGAGGAAAAGGAAAUCCUACGGGUUGGAUUGCUCGUGUGUCUACGGGACAAAUCCUAUUUGAAAUGGAUGGUGUGAGUUUGUCAAAUGCUCGACAAGCCGCUACAUUAGCGGCGCAUAAACUAUGUUUGUCAACCAAGUUUGUUCAAUGGUCGUAACGUAAUUGGUUAGUGGGGAAAAAACGGGCCGGGAUUCAAAAGAAUUAGGCGAAGUGUUUGUUCCUGAACGACGGAAGUGGAAAGACACUAAGGGAGAGGGAUAUACUCCUUUAUUUUUUUAAUCGCCGAAAUUGUACGAUGAACCUUUUUGUUCCAGGCGUACGACCCCGAAACGUUACUGUUUUUUAAGCCGGGCCCGGUUUAG